UGCUACGCAAGGAUCUCACGGAAAUGAUUCAGCAACAGAAUUUGAAAAUGACUCCAAGACACAGAUCUUGUAAAGAAGUGAAGGAAAGCUACCACCGAGAUUCCGCUCAGCUCCAUCAGGCUGAUCCACUUCAAAUGCCACGGAUAUUUUUGAAAAUAAAGUAAGUGGCUUGAUUUUUCAGAAUGAGCUAGAGGUGCUCAGCACUUUGGAAGAAACAGUAAUUCAUGUCAAAUUAAAAUGGUUUCAAAAUAUUAGUAAUCAUUUUACAUUUUGUAACGGUUAGGAAUGAGAAUUUGUUUAUGGGAAG
Molecule: long non-coding RNA, 307 nt
Filed under: Gopherus agassizii (Agassiz's desert tortoise)
Lineage: Eukaryota; Metazoa; Chordata; Testudines; Testudinidae
Description: lncRNA (ENSGAGG00000013901.1)
Source: RNAcentral